Molecule: ribosomal RNA, 468 nt
Filed under: uncultured bacterium
Lineage: Bacteria
Description: partial 16S ribosomal RNA
Rfam family: Bacterial small subunit ribosomal RNA
Source: RNAcentral
GACGAACGCUGGCGGCGUGCUUAACACAUGCAAGUCGAACGGAAAGGCCAUGAUUUUGUGGGGUGCACGAGAGGCGAACGGGUGAGUAAAACGUGAGUAAAAUGCACUUGAAUGUGGGAUAAAAUCAGGGAAAAGGGGAGAAUACCGGAUAGGAGCUACUGAUGCAUGGGGGGGGAUGGAAAGUGUCGGCGGUUGGGGAUGGGCUCUAGGCUUAUCAGCUUGCUGGUGGGGUAGUGGAUUACAACGGCUAUGACGGGUAGCAGGCCUUGGAGCGUGACCGGCCACCAUGCUACUGCGAUACGGACCAGUCUCCUACGUUCCGCAGUAGUGGGGAAUAUUGCACAGCGGGGCCACGCCUGAUGCAGCAACCCCCCGUGCGUAAUGACGUCCUUCGGGUUGUAAACCGCUUUCUCCUGUGACGAAGCCUGAGUGACGGUAAUUGGUAAAGAAGCACCGGCUAACUACGUG